UGGGACCGGUGCUCAGGGCACGGCCCCGGGGCCCUGCCCCGGUGAGGCGGGUGCCUGUGGGACCAGCAGCUGCGCUGGGGAGGGAUUCUCUGCUCUCCACAAAACCCCUUCGGUGCCCAGGCUGCCGAGGCCAGCGUAAACCGGCGGGAUUGUGGAAUAAUCAAGGAUCCCAAGGAACCAGCCCAGUGCUGACUUGGGGAUGUCGCCUCUGGGCCUGUCACCUGGUGGCUGUGCUGGCCUCAGCCAUGGGACACAGCCCCUACGGACCCACCAGCUGCUGGAGGUGCCCGUGGGGGGCCCUGGGGGCUCUGGUGGGGUUCAGCAGCAGGUGGUGUGACCCUGCCCCAGCAGCAGUGCCUGGGUCAGCACGGCUGAGGGGGGAGCAUUCACCAGAGCUGCCAGGUGACUGUUCCAAGGCCAGUGAUACAAUAUGAAACCAGGGUUUGCUUCCAAGUCCCAGCAACGAGAGUGUCACUGCGGGCUGAGGUGCCACCUUGUUCCAGACCUUUCAUCACAGUCACCACUCCUCUGUGAGCAGGCACGGGGGGGCUCUGGCUGUUUCCUCUCACACCAGGCUGCUCUGUCCCCUCAAGCCGAGCUCUGCAGCCUCUCAUGGCGCUUUACGCAGCCAGGACGGGUUUAACUGGGAAGAAGCAUCACUGCACAGCUGCUGUACAGGGGGGCUUGGGCCAGUCUGUUAAUCACAGAACAAGGCAAG
Apus apus (common swift) is the source of this 718-nucleotide long non-coding RNA. RefSeq lists it as uncharacterized. The record is from RefSeq and is a predicted model, not a curated record. Lineage: Eukaryota; Metazoa; Chordata; Aves; Apodiformes; Apodidae. The transcript has 3 exons.